RNAcentral lists this ribosomal RNA (502 nucleotides) under uncultured bacterium. Its description in RNAcentral is "partial 16S ribosomal RNA". It matches the Rfam family "Bacterial small subunit ribosomal RNA", at positions 30 to 523 of the family's 1533-position model. The record is from RNAcentral.
AUUGAACGCUGGCGGCAGGCUUAACACAUGCAAGUCGAGCGGGCGAGGUUGCUUCGGUAACUGAGCUAGCGGCGGACGGGUGAGUAAUGCUUAGGAAUCUGCCUAUUAGUGGGGGACCACAUUCCGAAAGGGAUGCUAAUACCGCAUACGUCCUACGGGAGAAAGCAGGGGCUCUUUAUGACCUUGCGCUAAUAGAUGAGCCUAAGUCGGAUUAGCUAGUUGGUUGGGUAAAGGCCUACCAAGGCGACGAUCUGUAGCGGGUCUGAGAGGAUGAUCCGCCACACUGGGACUGAGACACGGCCCAGACUCCUACGGGAGGCAGCAGUGGGGAAUAUUGGACAAUGGGGGGAACCCUGAUCCAGCCAUGCCGCGUGUGUGAAGAAGGCCUUUUGGUUGUAAAGCACUUUAAGUGGGGAGGAGGCUUACCUGGUUAAUACCUGGGCUAAGUGGACGUUACCCACAGAAUAAGCACCGGCUAACUCUGUGCCAGCCGCCGCAGUAA